GUGCAGCAGUCGCGAAACCUCCGCAAUACACGAAAGUGUGACGGGGCCAUCCCGAGUGCCAUCCGCUGAGGACGGCUUUUCCUCAGUGUACACAGCUGGGGGAAUAAGGAGAGGGCAAGCCUGGUGUCAGCCGCCGCGGUAAUACCAGCUCUCCGAGUGGUGGGGACGCUUAUUGGGCCUAAAGCAUCCGUAGCCGGCUGGGCAAGUCCUCCGUUAAAUCCAACGAUUCAAUCGUUGGGCUGCGGGGGAUACUGUCCAGCUUGGGGGCGGGAGAGGCCGACGGUAUUCCCGGGGUAGGGGUGAAAUCCUAUAACUCCCGGGAGGACCACCAGUGGCGAAGGCUGUCGGCUAGAACGCGCCCGACGGUGAGGGAUGAAAGCUGGGGGAGCGAACCGGAUUAGAUACCCGUGUAGU
RNAcentral lists this ribosomal RNA (414 nucleotides) under uncultured microorganism. RNAcentral describes it as "bacterial SSU rRNA". It matches the Rfam family "Archaeal small subunit ribosomal RNA", at positions 330 to 745 of the family's 1478-position model. The record is from RNAcentral.